This is a long non-coding RNA of Lagopus muta (rock ptarmigan), 1243 nucleotides long. RefSeq lists it as uncharacterized. The record is from RefSeq and is a predicted model, not a curated record. NCBI's taxonomy places the organism in Eukaryota, Metazoa, Chordata, Aves, Galliformes, Phasianidae. The transcript is spliced from 4 exons.
UGCUCGCCAGAAAGACAGUGCCAGUGGCACAACAAAAGAUGCUGCUCACAAUCAGGGCAGUGCAAGAGGCAGUGCUGGAGAUGGCUCGCCAGAAGGACAAUGUCACAGGUAGCACAGGAGAUUGCACCAUCCACAAGGACGAUGCCACACGUGAGGCCAUAAACAGCGCUCUCGCAACAAUCCACGCUGCCCUGGGCGCUUCUGGGACUGGUGGCUCUGCUGAUGCGCUUACCAGGAGGACCAAGCAAGGGGCGGCACCGGAGAUGGUGCUCACUGGAAGGAUAAUGCUGAAGGCAAAACCGUAGAUGUGCUCACCAGAAGGACAAGGCAAGAGGUAGUGCAGGAGAUGGCACACAUCAGAACGACGAUGCUAGAGGCGGUGCCUGACAGGGCAUACUCCAGAAGUACAGAGAAGGUGAUGGGGCACCUGAGACAGGCAGUGCUGCUGAAGCAGGGCGGCGCAUAACUUUUCCAGUGAACAAAGCUGAGGAAGCAGCAGGAUGUGGUCUUCCAAUGGCAGAUGCAGCUGAAAAUGCAGCAUGAGGCUUUGCUCCCACGACAGGCGACAAAGGAGAAGCGUAAGGUGGGGGUGCUCCCGUGAAGGUGAAUGCUAGAUAAGCAGAAGGAGAGGGUGCUCGUAUGAUGGAUGAAAUUGGAGAAUCCGAAUGAGAGUGCUCUCCUGUGAGAGAAGAUGCUAUAAAGGGCAACUGAGAGGUUGGUCUCAGGAUGGACUAUGCUGGAGACGGUUGCUCCCGGGACAGGUGAUGCUGGAAAGGGCAGUCUGCCUAGGGACAGUGCUGGAGAUACAGAAAGCAGCGCUCGUCUGGUGGUUGAUGCUGACAAGCUGCACAAAAAGGAGCUCCCCCAACGGAUGAUGCUGUAGAUGUUGUUGGAGUAGGCGCUUCGCCAAUGGACGAUGCCAGAGGCAGUGCUCCAGGAAGUGCUGUUCAGAAAGAUUACACCAGAGCUGGUGCUGGAGACGGUGCUCACCACAUACACGAUGCUAGCAACACUACAAAAGGUGCUGCUCAUAGUAAGGACUAUGCUAGAGGCGGUGCUCACCAGAAGAACGAUGCCACAGAUGGUGCCAGGAACGGUGCACACUCGAAGGGAAGGCAAUGAAGACGGAGCAACCAUGACACAUGGUGCUGGAGAGCUCAACCAAGAGAGUGCUCCUGCAACGCAUGGCGCUGGAGAUGGCAACGGAGAGGGUGAUCACACGAUGGAGAAUGCUGAAGAGGGC